RNAcentral lists this ribosomal RNA (1271 nucleotides) under Staphylococcus aureus. RNAcentral's name for it is "bacterial SSU rRNA". It matches the Rfam family "Bacterial small subunit ribosomal RNA", at positions 141 to 1413 of the family's 1533-position model. The record is from RNAcentral. Lineage: Bacteria; Bacillati; Bacillota; Bacilli; Caryophanales; Staphylococcaceae.
GGAUAACUUCGGGAAACCGGAGCUAAUACCGGAUAAUAUUUUGAACCGCAUGGUUCAAAAGUGAAAGACGGUCUUGCUGUCACUUAUAGAUGGAUCCGCGCUGCAUUAGCUAGUUGGUAAGGUAACGGCUUACCAAGGCAACGAUGCAUAGCCGACCUGAGAGGGUGAUCGGCCACACUGGAACUGAGACACGGUCCAGACUCCUACGGGAGGCAGCAGUAGGGAAUCUUCCGCAAUGGGCGAAAGCCUGACGGAGCAACGCCGCGUGAGUGAUGAAGGUCUUCGGAUCGUAAAACUCUGUUAUUAGGGAAGAACAUAUGUGUAAGUAACUGUGCACAUCUUGACGGUACCGGCUAACUACGUGCCAGCAGCCGCGGUAAUACGUAGGUGGCAAGCGUUAUCCGGAAUUAUUGGGCGUAAAGCGCGCGUAGGCGGUUUUUUAAGUCUGAUGUGAAAGCCCACGGCUCAACCGUGGAGGGUCAUUGGAAACUGGAAAACUUGAGUGCAGAAGAGGAAAGUGGAAUUCCAUGUGUAGCGGUGAAAUGCGCAGAGAUAUGGAGGAACACCAGUGGCGAAGGCGACUUUCUGGUCUGUAACUGACGCUGAUGUGCGAAAGCGUGGGGAUCAAACAGGAUUAGAUACCCUGGUAGUCCACGCCGUAAACGAUGAGUGCUAAGUGUUAGGGGGUUUCCGCCCCUUAGUGCUGCAGCUAACGCAUUAAGCACUCCGCCUGGGGAGUACGACCGCAAGGUUGAAACUCAAAGGAAUUGACGGGGACCCGCACAAGCGGUGGAGCAUGUGGUUUAAUUCGAAGCAACGCGAAGAACCUUACCAAAUCUUGACAUCCUUUGACAACUCUAGAGAUAGAGCCUUCCCCUUCGGGGGACAAAGUGACAGGUGGUGCAUGGUUGUCGUCAGCUCGUGUCGUGAGAUGUUGGGUUAAGUCCCGCAACGAGCGCAACCCUUAAGCUUAGUUGCCAUCAUUAAGUUGGGCACUCUAAGUUGACUGCCGGUGACAAACCGGAGGAAGGUGGGGAUGACGUCAAAUCAUCAUGCCCCUUAUGAUUUGGGCUACACACGUGCUACAAUGGACAAUACAAAGGGCAGCGAAACCGCGAGGUCAAGCAAAUCCCAUAAAGUUGUUCUCAGUUCGGAUUGUAGUCUGCAACUCGACUACAUGAAGCUGGAAUCGCUAGUAAUCGUAGAUCAGCAUGCUACGGUGAAUACGUUCCCGGGUCUUGUACACACCGCCCGUCACACCACGAGAGUUU